This is a long non-coding RNA of Myotis davidii, 1270 nucleotides long. RefSeq lists it as uncharacterized. The record is from RefSeq and is a predicted model, not a curated record. Lineage: Eukaryota; Metazoa; Chordata; Mammalia; Chiroptera; Vespertilionidae. The transcript has 4 exons.
CUAUCCACUGAGCCAAACCGGUUUCAGUGGGAGUUCCAUUUUUAAAUACACCUUACUUUUAUACAGGACUUUAUAGGCAAACAUGUUAAUUGAACCUCACAAUCAUUAUAAAAGCAGAAAUAAUUGGUAUUUUCUCUAUUUUACAAUGGCAAAGAAAAACUCAGAACUGAUAGGAAAAUGCCCAUCUUUAUAUAGACUUUUACACAGAAUUGAAAUGAUCUACCAAGCCUAGUGAUACCAAGUUCAAAAGUUUUACACCAUGUUUCAGGAUAAGCUAAAGUGCAAACAAAAGCAACCACACUCAAAGGUGCAUUGUUAAGCCUCUUAUGGAUUUUAUAUAUGCACAUUGGAUUUUCUCCUUAAAACAUAAAAAGCCUUCAAGGCAGUCUUCUGUAAUCAUGUGAUUUGAAAAAUUAUGACAGUCGUUACUGGGGCUUUACCUUGAGCAGCUUUAAUUAUUUUAAUAACCAUUCACAGUUCCUUCAUCAGAGAGAUUUUGGACCAAAGUAUAAUGAUUAUCAGACUGAUGGGGGAAAGCUCCCUUGUUAUACUUACCACCUAACGUUUAUUAUGUGCCGAGAGUGAUCAAUUUUUUACAUAUGCGUUAAUUGCAUUAAAGGACUGAACAGGAAAAGCUAUUUAACCUCAUCUUUAUUCACUUAUCCUUAAAGUAGUCCUGUCAUGCUUCUCCUCGAAAAGCAGGACGUAGUGGCUUGAACCUUGUAUGGAUCACCAUAGUUACUGGGCAUUCGUGACAUUUUAUUCCUUACUAUUUUUACUUUUACAUAUAAAUUCUUCAAACUUUCUUUCCUGUGUUUUAGUAUAUUGUUAUAAAAUGAAUGUCAUUAUUUUACAUCUUUUACUCUCCUUCUGGGACCUGUGUGCUGGAGUCAUUUCCGAGGGUGCUGUUCCUUCCUGUGGCAAUAGGAAGCUUCCAGCCUUGGGAGCCAGAGCGGGGCGUUCACAAGUAUUUCCUCAGCAGCAGUGGCUAACCAUUGCUUGCUUCUCUGGGGCAGCCGUGACCCACACCAGCACCCAACCGAGCGCCACUGCUCGCUGCUCACUGCACAUCCAGCAGAGGACCAGAGGGAAGGCAAGGAUUUAUUUCCAAAUGACCAAACUGAAAUAGCAUCCGUCUAAAGAGUCUAGGAGCAGAGGAUUGGGCCCUAGAACAUUGCUGUAAGAGAAAUCGGAGAACUCUAACCACCCCUUCACUGAGCAGUUCUGCUAUUUAUGGAUACAGUGGAAAGGAGGGGGAGAGACAAAGAGA